Acidobacteria bacterium RBG_13_68_16 is the source of this 117-nucleotide non-coding RNA. Lineage: Bacteria; Pseudomonadati; Acidobacteriota. The record is from Rfam.
UCCGGUGGCCAUACCGAGAGGGAAACACCCGUUCCCAUUCCGAACACGGCAGUUAAGCCUCUCAGGGCCGAUGGUACUCGGUGGGAAACUGCCUGGGAGAGUAGGUCGCCGCCGGGA